RNAcentral lists this long non-coding RNA (1804 nucleotides) under Homo sapiens (human). Its description in RNAcentral is "non-protein coding LINC01533:1". Lineage: Eukaryota; Metazoa; Chordata; Mammalia; Primates; Hominidae. The record is from RNAcentral.
UUACUGUGGUCUUGCGUGUCCUCUUUCCUAAUUCUUCCCCUGUUAAUCACCCUCCCACUCCCUGCCACAGAGCCUUCUAGAACCCUGGUUCUAUGACAUUAUGAUGAUGAUGACAACGAUGACGAUAGUGGCAAUCAUUUAUUAAGCAUUGCCCUGGCCUAAGACACCACAUGGGUCAUUUCUUCCAGGCUCCAACUUGCUUCUGCUUUGCCAUAUGGUAACACGCCGUAUUAUGGAAGCACCAUCAUUACCGCCAUUUGCAGGGGAAGCCUAAAGAGAUAAAUGCCAGCCAGCAUCCCUGUCUCUGGGGCCCUGGAGAGGCCUUCAACACACCUGGCCUCACUGCCCUGUGGCUUCAACAAAGAGGCCGAGCAUCUCCUAUAAACCUUGAGGUCCAUGGAUGACAUAGCGGAAUGAUGGAUUUCAGAAAAGCACACUGCUGUUACGACUCCAGAACCGAUAAGGAAGCUAUGUGUGGAAGUAUGAGCUCAGGUCGCCUUCUGACCCUCUGUGACGGUCUAUUUCAGGCAGUUAUGGAUAGAUAACAUUACAGACACUGGUAAUUAAAACAACACUAAUUUUGUCUCUGUGGUCACGCUUUGUUGUUAGAAGCCAUCUAUCAUGGCCUUCACGCAUCACGCAAUGAGAAGACAUUUGUCUACGUACAUUGUGCUUGGUCAACGGUUUUACGGAUUUCCCCGCGUACCUGGACACCCAGGCACUUUUAAAGACGUACUGCCUUCAUUUCUACUCUAUUACUCUGAUUAAUAAAACAUUUUGCAUGCUUCAUCAAAACACCCUGCAAGCUUUUCACCACAUAUAUUCAUGGGGGGGGAAGCAAUGUUAAUUUCUUUCCCUUUUAGAAAGAAACUAACAACAACAACAACAAAAGAAAUUCUCUUUUGGAUUGGAAGAGAGAAAGAAAAAUUCAAAUAUGGAAAUAUUUGUCUUCCCUGUAAAACAGAGUCCAGCCUAAUGAAAAGCAUAAUAUUAAAACACACACACAAUGCCAAGCAUCUCCUUUAAGGCUACACGUAUUUUUGACUAUAUGUAUCGUUAGUUCUUUUCUGUGCAUUCAUUUGCUUGAUUUAUGGACACUCAAUUUCACUUCACCUUUUAUUACAAGAUCUACAGUUACAUUAAGAGUAAUAGCAAGUCAAAUGUUUUUAUAUUUGGGCAAUUAAAAAAAAAGAAAAGAUCUAUUCCUUGGGCCCUUAUAAGAAAUUAGGGAUAGCUGAAAUGCAAGAUGACUAGUUUAGUUCUGUUGUAAUCAACUAAGAAGAAACUGUAAUGGUGCAUUUCAAGGGAUCUUUAACAAGUGACACAAACAAGAGAAGAAGCAGACAGGACCAUUUAACUUCAAACUCCACCGAAGAGAGCUGAAUUGUAAGCUUCCUACAGCAAGCCCGGCUGGCGGCUAUGUGGCAGUCUUCAUUUCUCAGCGGAAAAGCCACUCCCUUGAGACUCUCCAGGCACCCCCCAACCGCAUUUUUUAUCAAGUGUCUAAAAGACACAAUGAACAAAAACCAGAGCUUUUGAAUACAGAUUUCCAGUAAAACCAAACCCAGCUUGGGUCAGAUGCACCUUUCCAGCAACCACCAUCUCAGCAACAACCUGCCAGCUGUCAACUGGAAGUUCAGCUUCUGGGAACUUCAGCCCCCUUCUCAGAGGAGCAAGGUCCUAGCACCAACAGCACCUGCAGUGGAGCCCAAGUAUGGCUGCUUCAUGGAGAAGGUAUCUGUUUGCGUGCAAAUCCGUGAGUGCUUGCAUCUCGUGUAUUUGAAAAUCCUGUUUAAGAAUGCAG